This 195-nucleotide small RNA is filed under the name Vigna angularis var. angularis. RNAcentral describes it as "Non-protein coding transcript". Lineage: Eukaryota; Viridiplantae; Streptophyta; Magnoliopsida; Fabales; Fabaceae. The record is from RNAcentral.
AUCUCUUAUCAGGCUCUCUUCAUAUUUGUAUUCUUAUUUUCGGACACCAUUGAAUUUUUUCUCACUAUCGGCACCGUCUCGUGCUUCCUCCACCGCAACCAACUUGUUCACAUCUCCGUGGUCUUCCUCUCAACGUCGGGGAAUCAAAGUAUCUGGCUCUGAUAUUAGAGUUGGAAAUAUCAUUGGAAAACAAGG